This 460-nucleotide ribosomal RNA is filed under the name uncultured bacterium. Its description in RNAcentral is "partial 16S ribosomal RNA". It matches the Rfam family "Bacterial small subunit ribosomal RNA", at positions 338 to 795 of the family's 1533-position model. The record is from RNAcentral.
CCUACGGGCGGCAGCAGUGAGGAAUAUUGGUCAAUGGACGAGAGUCUGAACCAGCCAAGUAGCGUGAAGGAUGACUGCCCUAUGGGUUGUAAACUUCUUUUAUAUGGGAAUAAAACGUUCCACGUGUGGGAUUUUGUAUGUACCAUAUGAAUAAGGAUCGGCUAACUCCGUGCCAGCAGCCGCGGUAAUACGGAGGAUCCGAGCGUUAUCCGGAUUUAUUGGGUUUAAAGGGAGCGUAGGUGGAUUGUUAAGUCAGUUGUGAAAGUUUGCGGCUCAACCAUAAAAUUGCAGUUGAAACUGGCAGUCUUGAGUACAGUAGAGGUGGGCGGAAUUCGUGGUGUAGCGGUGAAAUGCUUAGAUAUCACGAAGAACUCCGAUUGCGAAGGCAGUUCACUGGACUGCAACUGACACUGAGGCUCGAAAGUGUGGGUAUCAAACAGGAUUAGAUACCCCAGUAGUC